This 45-nucleotide non-coding RNA is filed under the name Schistosoma mattheei. The record is from RNAcentral. Lineage: Eukaryota; Metazoa; Platyhelminthes; Trematoda; Strigeidida; Schistosomatidae.
AUCCAGCUGGCCAGUCCCAUAUAGAACGAAACGUACAUCCUGGAU